AGAGUUUGAUCCUGGCUCAGAACGAACGCUGGCGGCAGGCUUAACACAUGCAAGUCGAACGCAUCUCAAGAUGAGUGGCAGACGGGUGAGUAACGCGUGGGAACAUACCCUUUUCUACGGAAUAGCUCUGGGAAACCGGAAUUAAUACCGUAUACGCCCUACGGGGGAAAGAUUUAUCGGGGAAGGAUUGGCCCGCGUUGGAUUAGCUAGUUGGUGGGGUAAAGGCCUACCAAGGCGACGAUCCAUAGCUGGUCUGAGAGGAUGAUCAGCCACAUUGGGACUGAGACACGGCCCAAACUCCUACGGGAGGCAGCAGUGGGGAAUAUUGGACAAUGGGCGCAAGCCUGAUCCAGCCAUGCCGCGUGAGUGAUGAAGGCCUUAGGGUUGUAAAGCUCUUUCACCGAUGAAGAUAAUGACGGUAGUCGGAGAAGAAGCCCCGGCUAACUUCGUGCCAGCAGCCGCGGUAAU
This 468-nucleotide ribosomal RNA is filed under the name uncultured bacterium. Its description in RNAcentral is "bacterial SSU rRNA". It matches the Rfam family "Bacterial small subunit ribosomal RNA", at positions 8 to 524 of the family's 1533-position model. The record is from RNAcentral.